RNAcentral lists this long non-coding RNA (2117 nucleotides) under Homo sapiens (human). RNAcentral's name for it is "non-protein coding lnc-LSM6-1:3". The record is from RNAcentral. Lineage: Eukaryota; Metazoa; Chordata; Mammalia; Primates; Hominidae.
AGCUGGGGUGGAGAACAACUGGCCAAAGUCCAUUACAUUCCAUCUAAUGAUAGGUCUGUUGGCAGGUGGGGGGAGGCUAUCAGCAACUCACCUUGUCCAGUACCCUCCUGUUAUAAUACAAAGCUCCAGCUCAAACUGAAAACUUAAAGUACAAUCAGCCAGAUCCACCUUCUAAUGACUAUGAUGUUUAAAGCAUCCACAAAAGUGAAAUUCAAAUUAUUGAUAUGUUUUAGUAGCACCAUCCGUAAUUUCACCUAAACAUAAAGAAGAAGCAAAACAGGAGCAGGAAAGUCAGUCUAUGAUAAAAGCUCCCAUUUAUCACAGGCCUCCUAUGAGUUAAGUACUGUUUAUUUGCUAUUUCUAACGCAUAUUGCAACUUACAAGGCAGUCCUGUUCUCCUUCACAAAUGAAGCAUCCACAGCACAAUUGGUGACUUCACAAAGGUCCCAUGGCUCCUAGGUGGGAAGCCGCCAGAAGGCAGAUCUGAUUCUAAAGCUGCUGUCUGCAUGCCAGGCUAGUACAGCUCUCAAUCUGGGAUCAGGAAAGAGAGGUACCACAUGUGGUCAAGGAGCUCCCACAUCCCCAGGAGUCCAAGGGUUGCCAUUCUUCCUCCUUCUGUCUCUGUGAUGUCACCACUACAAUGUUGUCAUAUUGUGAACUGUUCUGGGAUGUUAGCAGAGCUCAAAUCCUUAUGAACCCAAACUCCCAAGCCACUGGAUCCGGUGAGAUGGCUGGAACUCAGCAGGGUCAGCAUGAGGAACACCGCGAGGACUGCUGAAACACCACAUUCCCAUGGCUGCCGCAGGACAGCGGGGUGGCUGGAAGGCACAGUGUCUGUGAAACUGUGGUCCUCGGCAAGGGGUGUGACCUCAUGGUGGGUCGCCUGACCUAUGAGCAGAGAUGGAAGGAAGAAUGCCAAUUUGGAGGCAGAUGUGGGAAGUAGGAGUGCUGUGGCAACACGGUGUGGAAAUAGGGAGUUCUCUUCAGGCGUGAUGCUCACAGUUUACAUAAAUCUAUUGAUCUAUGUAUUUACCUGCCUACCUCUAUGUGUGCGUUUGUCUGGGUGUGGGGUGGAGCAGUGUGAGGUGGGUUCAGGAACCGUGUUUGUGAGGGCUGUCUGGGGAGACAGAACCAAUAGGAGCUAUAUCUGUACUGAUAUUGGUAUCUCUACUGAUAUAGAUAGAUGAGAGGGGAUGUAUUAGGGGAAUUGGCUCACACGACCUUGGUGACUGAGAAGUCCCACCACAGUCCAUCUGCAAGCUGGAGACCCUGGGACGCAGGUAGUGUGGCUUCACAGCAAGUUCAAAGACCUCAGAAUCAAGGGAGCGUAUCUGCCCUAAGGAUGAGAUCGGGAAAAAGCCUGCAAGCAUGUGUUUGAAAGGAGGUGAGAGAGGAAGAUCAAGAAGGGUUUUCCCAAGUUACGGUUGCAACGCAAGAAAGGGAAAGGUGAGAAGAGGGACCCGAGCCCAGGCCUUGGGAGGAAGAGGAGGAAGAAGAGGGGUGUGGGCCCGACCCCGAGAGCAGACCAGGGCUGCGGUCAGAGCUGGUCGCCAGAUGAGGACGCCUGGGCAGCUGGCCUGUGCCUGAGCAGAGGUGGCUGAGGUCCAGGAGGCAGAGAAGAAGAAAUGGAGCCUCGCACCGCUGCUCCUAGCUUGCCCAGAGGGAGAAGGGUGAUGGGGCUGUUCCUAUGCACUCAGGACCGUGGCUCUUGAACUUUAUGUGUCGGGAAGGAGGCAAGGGCUGAACUGGAGAGUGGGCCAUUCAUUUAGUUCCAGCGUCCCAGGAAAUGCUCUUUUCCCCGCGGGAGCCUCUGCCUGCAGCUGUAAUGACCUUGGACUAGAAGGUCAAACUCCAAAGGCUUGAAACCGCACCUGCAGCAGGACUGGCCACCUACGUUGUGGGGUAUCUUUAAAAUAAAAUGCUGCACUGUCCUGCAACUGUCAGUCUGAAGCAGAAGUCCUGAGUGCCCAGGGGCAACUGGUGUAAGUCCUGGAGUUUGAAGGUCAUAGAGCCUGGAGUCCAACCGCAGGAGGAGAAGAGUGUCCCUGCUCCAGGAGAGAGAGAGAGAAAAAAAAAAAUCUCUUUUUGUGUAUGUGCUGUUGUUGCCUUUUUUGUUC